RNAcentral lists this small RNA (704 nucleotides) under Histoplasma capsulatum var. duboisii H88. RNAcentral's name for it is "Histoplasma capsulatum H88 hypothetical RNA". Lineage: Eukaryota; Fungi; Ascomycota; Eurotiomycetes; Onygenales; Ajellomycetaceae. The record is from RNAcentral.
AGGACGUUAGCUGUGAUGGGGUAUUUCCCCAGGGGUGGCAGGCGUGCUGAGGUCGACUAGAAGUGUUACACAUGGGACGGGAUUGGACUUUUUGCGGGAGGGAAUGGGCGCCGUCGAGGGAAGAGAGAUAUCCCACCUCGUUUAAAAAUUUGCUCUUGGUUGUUCGUCAUUGGUUAGAGUCGGGAAAGGAUGCAUGACUGUAUCUGACUAAUAUCAAAUCGAAAUUUGUGAUUUGUGCCUGGGGCAGGAUAUCUGAAUCAUGGUGUAUUAGAUCGGCUUCCAUUUGAUAUUCUCUCAUUAUGCUGCUGAGAUCGAAAAGUGUUAGGGUUACAGGGGAGUCCAAAAGCAGAGGAGCAACGUUGUCACAAAUCUGGGUUUUAUUCCUCCACCAUGUAUAGCUUUUACGUGGACACUAUGAGCGGAUGGCGUCCCAUGUCACGGGCAAGAGAAGCUAGCACAACUCUUUCCCCGCAUUAUUUUCGCGGAUAGGUUUCGGUGUUACAAUAUCAACUGGGUGCUCUUGUGAGUGAGCCCGCUUUAUUUCCUUGCCGGUUGCGCAUCAUUACCUUUUUGAGGAACUCCCUCACGGAGCAGCCGCACUUGCGCGUUGUUUUUGCUUCUUUGGGUCUGGCGGGCCCAUGGUGAGCUUUCGAAGAUUAAGAAGUCUCGGAUAGGAUCUAUAUAAUUAGUUCGACAAAGCUUGG